This 504-nucleotide ribosomal RNA is filed under the name uncultured bacterium. RNAcentral's name for it is "partial 16S ribosomal RNA". It matches the Rfam family "Bacterial small subunit ribosomal RNA", at positions 30 to 523 of the family's 1533-position model. The record is from RNAcentral.
AUUGAACGCUGGCGGCAGGCCUAACACAUGCAAGUCGAACGGUAGCACAGAGAGCUUGCUCUCGGGUGACGAGUGGCGGACGGGUGAGUAAUGUCUGGGAAACUGCCCGAUGGAGGGGGAUAACUACUGGAAACGGUAGCUAAUACCGCAUAACGUCGCAAGACCAAAGUGGGGGACCUUCGGGCCUCACACCAUCGGAUGUGCCCAGAUGGGAUUAGCUAGUAGGUGGGGUAAUGGCUCACCUAGGCGACGAUCCCUAGCUGGUCUGAGAGGAUGACCAGCCACACUGGAACUGAGACACGGUCCAGACUCCUACGGGAGGCAGCAGUGGGGAAUAUUGCACAAUGGGCGCAAGCCUGAUGCAGCCAUGCCGCGUGUAUGAAGAAGGCCUUCGGGUUGUAAAGUACUUUCAGCGGGGAGGAAGGCGGUGAAGUUAAUAACUUCACCGAUUGACGUUACCCGCAGAAGAAGCACCGGCUAACUCCGUGCCAGCCGCCGCAGUAA